ACUCCUACGGGAGGCAGCAGUGGGGAAUAUUGCACAAUGGGCGCAAGCCUGAUGCAGCCAUGCCGCGUGUGUGAAGAAGGCCUUCGGGUUGUAAAGACUUUCAGUCGUGAGGAAGGUGAGUAGUAGUUAAUAGCUGCUAUUAUUUGACGUUAGCGAACAGAAGAAGCACCGGCUAACUCCGUGCCAGCAGCCGCGGUAAUACGGAGGGUGCGAGCGUUAAUCGGAAUUACUGGGCGUAAAGCGCAUGCAGGUGGUUUGUUAAGUCAGAUGUGAAAGCCCGGGGCUCAACCUCGG
RNAcentral lists this ribosomal RNA (294 nucleotides) under uncultured bacterium. RNAcentral describes it as "partial 16S ribosomal RNA". It matches the Rfam family "Bacterial small subunit ribosomal RNA", at positions 335 to 618 of the family's 1533-position model. The record is from RNAcentral.